This is a non-coding RNA of Mycena capillaripes, 111 nucleotides long. The record is from the annotation of a GenBank genome assembly. Lineage: Eukaryota; Fungi; Basidiomycota; Agaricomycetes; Agaricales; Mycenaceae.
ACACUGAUGGUGAAGCGGUUAUCAUGCUUGCCUUCCAGCGCUUACGUAAGCGUUAUAACCGCUACGUAAUUCGGGUAGCAAGCGGCAGGGGUUCGACUCCCCUUCAGUGUA